GAUGAACGCUGGCGGCGUGCCUAAUACAUGCAAGUCGAGCGAACAGACGAGGAGCUUGCUCCUCUGACGUUAGCGGCGGACGGGUGAGUAACACGUGGAUAACCUACCUAUAAGACUGGGAUAACUUCGGGAAACCGGAGCUAAUACCGGAUAAUAUAUUGAACCGCAUGGUUCAAUAGUGAAAGACGGUUUUGCUGUCACUUAUAGAUGGAUCCGCGCUGCAUUAGCUAGUUGGUAAGGUAACGGCUUACCAAGGCAACGAUGCCUAGCCGACCUGAGAGGGUGAUCGGCCACACUGGAACUGAGACACGGUCCAGACUCCUACGGGAGGCAGCAGUAGGGAAUCUUCCGCAAUGGGCGAAAGCCUGACGGAGCAACGCCGCGUGAGUGAUGAAGGUCUUCGGAUCGUAAAACUCUGUUAUUAGGGAAGAACAAAUGUGUAAGUAACUAUGCACGUCUUGACGGUACCUAAUCAGAAAGCCACGGCUAACUACGUG
Molecule: ribosomal RNA, 497 nt
Filed under: uncultured bacterium
Lineage: Bacteria
Description: partial 16S ribosomal RNA
Rfam family: Bacterial small subunit ribosomal RNA
Source: RNAcentral